Molecule: transfer RNA, 71 nt
Filed under: Calotes htunwini
Lineage: Eukaryota; Metazoa; Chordata; Lepidosauria; Squamata; Agamidae
Description: tRNA-Trp
Source: RNAcentral
UAGGAACUUAGGAAUACACUUUAAACCGGAGGCCUUCAAAGCCUAAGACAAGAGAUACCUCUUAGUACCUG